This 379-nucleotide ribosomal RNA is filed under the name uncultured eukaryote. RNAcentral describes it as "partial 18S ribosomal RNA". It matches the Rfam family "Eukaryotic small subunit ribosomal RNA", at positions 592 to 976 of the family's 1831-position model. The record is from RNAcentral.
CAAUAGCGUAUAUUUAAGUUGUUGCAGUUAAAAAGCUCGUAGUUGGAUUUUGGGUCGGGGGCACCGGUCCGCCGUUCCGGUGUGCACUGGUGGCCCCUUCCUUUCUGCCGGGGACGUGCGUCGCACUUAAUUGGGUGGCGUUCGGAGUCGGCGUUGUUACUUUGAAAAAAUUAGAGUGUUCAAAGCAAGCCAUCGCUCUGAAUACAUUAGCAUGGAAUAACAUGAUAGGACUCCGGUCUUAUUUUGUUGGUUUCCGAGACUGGAGUAAUGAUUAAGAGGGACAGUCGGGGGCAUCCGUAUUUCAUUGUCAGAGGUGAAAUUCUUGGAUUUAUGAAAGACGAACUUCUGCGAAAGCAUUUGCCAAGGAUGUUUCCAUUAA